RNAcentral lists this ribosomal RNA (499 nucleotides) under uncultured bacterium. RNAcentral describes it as "partial 16S ribosomal RNA". It matches the Rfam family "Bacterial small subunit ribosomal RNA", at positions 28 to 506 of the family's 1533-position model. The record is from RNAcentral.
GACGAACGCUGGCGGCGUGCUUAACACAUGCAAGUCGAACGGGUCUGCCCUGUUUUUUGCGGGGUGGGUCAGUGGCCAACGGGUGAGUAACACGUGAGUAACCUGCCCCUCACUUCUGGAUAACCGCUUGAAAGGGCGGCUAAUACGGGGUGUUCUGGCUGUGCCGCAUGGUGUGGCUGGGAAAGAUUCACUUUUGUGGUGUUUUGGUGGGGGAUGGGCUCGCGGCCUAUCAGCUUGUUGGUGGGGUGAUGGCCUGCCAAGGCUUUGACGGGUAGCCGGCCUGAGAGGGUGGGCGGUCACACUGGGACUGAGAUACGGCCCAGACUCCUGCGGGAGGCAGCAGUGGGGGGUAUUGCACAAUGGGCGGAAGCCUGAUGCAGCGACGUCGCGUGAGGGAUGGAGGCCUUCGGGUUGUGAACCUCUUUCGCCGGUGAAGAAGGUCCUGCUCUUUGUGGUGGGGUUGACGGUAGCCGGGUUAUGAAGCGCCGGCUAACUACGU